Non-coding RNA from Agelaius phoeniceus (red-winged blackbird), 706 nucleotides. NCBI's taxonomy places the organism in Eukaryota, Metazoa, Chordata, Aves, Passeriformes, Icteridae. The record is from RefSeq and is a predicted model, not a curated record.
CCCCGGUGGGUGUGGCCGCGGCCGCACCACGUGACCUCUGCUAUAUAAAGUAUGGGUUGGAGCCGUUCUGCCUUUUCCUUUCCCGCCGCCAUGAGGGUGCGGUGUCCCUCAGGCGGUCCCACCGUUCAACAUGUAUCAGCUACACUCUUCUUUCCUGUGGCUGCAGUGCAGAUCUGCCCCCAAAUGUGGAGACCUAAUGCUACUUCUUUCCAAGGAUUUGAACCCUGCACUUCAGAGGGAUGCACAAGGAACAUCAUCACCUGGCACUGGGAGAUGAAACUAAAAGCUGUUACAAGGCUGCCCUUGACAUGAGCCCUAUGCCUCUGGUGUGAGAAACCAUUUCACCUGUUACUAAUGUUGGUGAAGGCCCUCCUAAUUAAAGGUUGCAGGUUUCCAAAUGUUUCUCAUUGUGAGGUGUGAUGGAGCUGGGAAGUAAAGGACCUGGUAGUGCUGCCAGCAAAAGGUGAUGCUUGCAUGGAGUUUGAGAAACAAGAUAAAUGUGCCUGAGGAAGGGACUGUACAGUGUCUGCAGCCUCACUAGGUGAAGAGGCAACUCUGAAACUAGCAUAUGAAGAAUUGAGAAGGUGGAAGAUUGGAUGAAUGGGUUACACUUGCAUGAACAGCAUUAAAAAAGCCAAUGUGUUUUUACCUCACUGGUAAUGUUUGCCUGAUGUUGAUUGGAGCGAAUAAAAAUCUGUAAACUCUA